This 448-nucleotide ribosomal RNA is filed under the name uncultured bacterium. Its description in RNAcentral is "bacterial SSU rRNA". It matches the Rfam family "Bacterial small subunit ribosomal RNA", at positions 29 to 514 of the family's 1533-position model. The record is from RNAcentral.
AACGAACGCUGGCGGCAGGCCUAACACAUGCAAGUCGAGCGCCCCCGCUAAGGGGAGCGGCGGACGGGUGAGUAACGCGUGGGAACGUACCCCCUUUCUACGGAAUAGCCUCGGGAAACUGGGAGUAAUACCGUAUAAGCCCCUACGGGGGAAAGAUUUAUCGGGAAGGGAUCGGCCCCGCGUUGGAUUAGGGUAGUUGGUGGGGGUAAUGGCCUACCAAGCCGACGAUCCAUAGCUGGUUUGAGAGGAUGAUCAGCCACACUGGGACUGAGACACGGCCCAGACUCCUACGGGAGGCAGCAGUGGGGAAUCUUAGACAAUGGGCGCAAGCCUGAUCUAGCCAUGCCGCGUGAGCGAUGAAGGCCUUAGGGUUGUAAAGCUCUUUCAGUGGGGAAGAUAAUGACUGUACCCCACAGAAGAAGCCCCCGGCUAACUCCGUGCCAGCCAG